This 5322-nucleotide long non-coding RNA is filed under the name Homo sapiens (human). RNAcentral describes it as "HSALNT0279171". The record is from RNAcentral. Lineage: Eukaryota; Metazoa; Chordata; Mammalia; Primates; Hominidae.
UGCCGCUGAGAUGUUUCCUAGCUGUGCACAGAAUUCACUCUCCUACUGGAGGGCUCUGACUGAAAGCUCUGAUGCGGCAGGCCUUCUCUUGACACUUGGUUAAGGUAUGCCUCUCACAUCUGUAUGCCCACAUCUGCUCUCCUCCCUCCCUCCUUCUCAGCACUUAGCCCUCUGAUAUGGUUUGCUGGCGUCCCCACCCAAAUCUCAUCUUGAAUUGUAGUUCCCAUAAAUCCCCACGUAUUGUUCGAGGUACCCCGUGGGAGAUAAUUGAAUCAUGGGGGUGGUUACCCAGAUGCUGCGGUUCUCGUGUUAGUGAGUUCUCGUGAGAUCUGAUGGUUUUAUAAGGGGCUUUUCCCCCUUUUUCUCGGCACUUCUCCUCGCUGCCGCCACAUGAAGAAGGAUGUGUUUGCUUCCCCUUCUGCCAUGAUUGGAAGUUUCCUGAGACCCCUCCAGCCAUGCUGAACUGUGAGUCAAUCAAACGUCUUUCCUCCAUAAAUUACCCAGUCUCGGGUAUGUCUUUAUUAGCAGUGUGAGAAUGGACUCACACAUUCUCCUAAUGUAGUAUACAUGUGUUUGCUCAUUUGUCACCAUCUCUCCAUCUCUAGUCUCUAGAAUAUGAGAUCUGUAAGAACAGGGACACCUAGAAUACGAGAUCUGUAAGAAUAGGGACAUUGUCUGUAUCAGGUGUUCAUGGCUCAAUCCCAGCACCUGGAACAGCAUGAGGCACCUGGCAGGUGCCUGACAAACAUUUGCAGGGAAUAUGUGUGCAUGAACCUGCAUGGGCAGGAACAGGUGCAUAGGAACAUGGAUUGUGGACGUGCAUGUAUGUGCGUGCAUAUGUAUACCACUAUGUAUACGUAGCUUAUUGUGUCUUUGCAGUGAGGUUUUCAAACCUCUGUCUUGUUUCCAGGAUUUCCUGAAGACACCAUCCCAGUCAAGUGGUCUGCCUCAUACUGAGCCACCAGACCACCCAGCAUGUCCUCACCCGCGUGGACAGAUGACAGGGGGCUCUGAGCAUGCCCCAGUGCACCUUACGCACCUGUGAAGGUUGGGAGCCUGAGUGCAGCUCCUGUGGCACUGCCCGUGGCCAGGGAGAUGCCUCCUCAGUGCUCCUGACCCUCGGUGGAGGACCGGCCAGCGUGUGUGCCGACAGUGUGUCCACACAGGUGUGCUGCGCCCAAUGGGCAAGUCGGAAACAAAGGAAAAUGCUCUCUGAAGGAAAAGGCAAAGCAAUUUGGAUUUCUGCGAGAAAAUGAGACUGCAUGUGGCACUGUAAAUACCCUUGCUGCUGAACUUCUCGCUCCCCCCAGAUACACCCUUCAUAUUGACAUGUCUAGAACCUUAAACUGAACCAAGUUGAAAAGUGAGAUUAAUUAGGGCUGAGUUAACAGUUAACACAUACAAUGAAAUAUUGAAUAAGGCUUACUGAGCAAACAAGAAUAUACAGAAGUGGAGGAGACAAAGAGGAUAUUAAAAAUGCAGACAGUGAUGAGGCAGAUAGCUGGGACAAAUAAUGAAAAAUAGUAAAGGAGAUAAGGCAGAUAUUGGAGGAGCAAAGAGUCUCUGAAAUAGAUAUCGGUAUUGAAAGAUGCUAAACACGCUUCUAAAGAGACUUUCUAGCCGACACAGGGAGCUCACUGAUGGAUGAAGUAGAAACAUUUUUAAAUGGAAUCAAACAGGGCAAAGCGGGAGAAGAAAAAGAAGUAGGUAAACCAGUAAAUUAACUUUUCUCGUGUGUGCUGUGUACUAUUUGUGAGUGAGCAAUGAACGCUGUGGCUCCCUGGAGGGGCUGUGGUGGGAAGUUUCACUGCGAUCAAGUAGAGGUGGUGCCUUUGGACCUCUUCUCCUGAACCUGCAGGGAGAGGCGCAGAAUAUUCACAAGGUGAAGAUGCAACAAUUCAAAUGAGUGUCCAGGUUUUCAGGGUGGUUGCUAAACCCCAAAAGACCGAUAGCUUCGGGCAAAAGACUGCAGAAAGAACAGCUUUACAUUUUUACGGAAGCAAUGGGAAAUAUACCCUGUAAGCCUUGAAAAAUUCCCGAAGGGAUCCAAAGGCUGUUACACAGGGAUGCCCGCUUCUGGACAGAAGUGAUUCAUGCAGGAUGAGAACCAUGACCACAGAAGAUUUUGUGCAUGUGGUUAUUUCAAUAUUUAAUUUAAGUGUAUGCAUGAGUGUUCAGGAUAAAAAUGCUUGGAGUGUACUUUAAUUCCAUUAAAAAUGUAUACAUUAUUCAUGUCCUAUGGACUGUCCACUGUGUGACUCAGAGAGCUGAGGGGGUAGAAAUAUAUUCAUUCAUUCACUGUCUCCUUAAAUAUUUACUGAGCACUUGUUGCCCGUUGAAUAAGUUGUUGUUUUAGGUUCCUCAUGGUAGCUGUGCAGGAAGGGUGCAGAGUGGCCUGAGGGGCUAUUGGGAAAGUCCACCUUGGGUUGAGGGAUCUGGGAGGGCUCCCUGGAGGAGGUGGUGUUGGACUACAGCGAUGGGAACAUAAAGGAGCUGGAGAGAGAUUUGGGUGCCAGUCAGCACAAGAAAGGCCCACACAGAGAAAGUCAGGCUGGGGCGAGAGUGAGCCCCCCAAGCUGAGAGCUCAGCCUGAGAGCAUGGGAAGCCAUCCAGGAGCUGAGAAGCCAGGCUGGGUCUGACCCCACUGAUUCAGAUCCCUCUGUGGCCUUGGGAAAGGCCAGAGACAGGGCCGCAGGUGGGGGCUUUGGUGAAGGGAGCGAGAGUGUGAGCCAGUGCCACGUAGAGAGGACAGACGCAGGGAUGCCAGCCAGGGUGCCGUCGGCCAAGAAAGGAAGGUCCAGCAGGCACAGUGUCAGAGGAGGGUCCCAGAGGAAGGCACUGGGAACAGUCCUGGCCCUCAAAAUGUCACUGUCUGAGGGUCUUGACCUCUGGCUUGUGAGCUCACAGAGGGCAGCGCCCUUGCACUCACCUUCCUGUUGACCUGCAGGGCCAAGCAUUGUGCCGGACAUAGGGGUGAACAGGCACAUGCUUCCCACCUGUCAGGGAGAUUCUUGCUCUCCUGGCUCUGCCCCACCCCUGGGGGCUCUGCCAGCUCCUCGGAACCCUGAGUCCAGGGCAGGGCACGGUCUCAGGUCUUAGCCUGAUGACGUAGUACAGGCUCUAGGCCCCAGGAGGGACAUGGCACUUCCUGCAUCGACUCUGUCACUGGUCUCCCCAGGGCUUCCCUCCCCAAGCCUCAGGGGCUGUGGGGUACCCCAUCCUCUCCACAGAACACGUGCACAGGCCUCCAGGAGAUGGUUAAUAGAACGGAGAGGUUUUAGGGAAGUUUAUUUCUAUAGCUCUUACAUUUAUUUAUAUUUGUCAAAUAUGUUCCCAUCACUAAAAUCUCUUUGGAGCAUUUUCAAAAAUUAAAGAAUUGCGUCUAAAAAUACUGACCUUGAUGUUCAGUGUGCAUGGGUAACUCUCCAGGCCCAGCAACAUCAAGAGGCAGAUGUGACAGCAGCCGUGGCUGCUCAGGGGGCCGGGAAUGCGGGAAAGGGGUGGCUGUCAAACAGUCUUGACAAGCGGCUGAAUGUGACUGUGUCGGAUUUGGAAAGUGCAGCCUGAGAAUUUGAAAUCCAUUCACUCCCCACCCCCAAGCGUUUUUUCAUGUAUUCGUUCAUUCAGCACACCUUGAAUGAACACUCUUUUAUUUGCUACCUAUUCAGGGACACUACACAGGCCCGUGACCAUCACACGCCCAGCCUGGCCCCGUGCUGUGCCUGAGCAGAGGACUGUUGGCAGAUGGUUCACUUCCACCCUCCAUGAUAAAUGCUGAGAAAAGAAAGAUCAAGGGCUUCAGAGCCCACUGGAGGGAAUUCAUACAGCCGGGGGCCCAGGAAGCUGCUAAGGAAACUGCCUGGACGGCAGGGUGGCCGUGACCACGGGGACGGGGAGAAGGACCCAGAGGAGCUGAGGAAUCCUUGCUGUGGAAGGCACCAUAUGAGCUGCGUGAAGUCAGAGUCAAAAGCAAACCCGUCUCUUCUUGACAGUGGGACCCAGGAGGCAGGACAACCUGCCAGAGAGGCUGAAGGAGGUUCCCUCAGGCUGGAUCCUCGACAAGAAAAAGGAAGAGGGUCUGCCUGAUUCCCUCGCCAACAACAGCUGGUCUUCCAGAAGUCAGCAAUCUCUUGUCCCUUGUCUUCAAAAGCCCAUGGAGCUGGAGGCAGGCAGCUGAGGUCAGGAAGAGAAGGUGCGACCCAGUCCAGGAAGGCUGAGUCCUCGUGAACCCUCAGGGCUGGGGUGAGGGGCCAGUGCCCGGCCCAGACACCAGCACAGCCCUGCAGUGGGAGUUGAUCUCAGCAGAUGGACGGGCACCGCCCAGAGGAUGGACUGGUCAGCACCGCCCGGAGGAUGGACCGCUCAGCACCGCAGUGGCCGCUUGGCCUAAUUUGCCACCUGAAGAGCCGCCAGGUCUCCAGUGACUCUAGCACCAUGGACAGGAGAGGAGCAGGGUGACCUGAGGGUACAGAGAAGGUUCUGCUGUAAUCAAGUUCCCCUGCCUGGUCAGAGGGCUCAGAGGUUUGAGAGGGGAGGGAUUUCCUUUUAAAGCUGCAGGAUCCCUGUGGGUCCAGAAAGAAACACAGCCAUGGCGGGCAUCCCAUGGAGGGUAGUGACCAGGAGCAGGACAAAGGUGGAAGGUGGGUGGAGCCCCCACAUGGGCCUCAGGUCACAUUGGACAUUUCCUCAGCAAGUGUCACCUGGGUGGUGACGAAUGGGGGAGGAGAACAGAUGGAAUGCGGAGAGUAGCAGUGUGAAGCUGCACCGCCUGGUCACCACUCGAGAUACACAGGGUUUGCUCUGCCUGAGGAGCACACGCUGGCUGCAGACACGGGGCAACCACGUGAGAAAGGUCAGACCCAGGCCCACUCGCCUUCCAUAUGCAUCUUAGGGACGGGGAUGCCUGCGCCAGCAGCAGCCUUGCUGCCCCUGCGUCCCCCAGUGCACCUGCCAGGGCAAAGCCAACAGGCAGUGCCAAGGACCUGAGGGAGGAGGUGGGCUUGACUUCGAGGCAGGGCACAGACACCAGACCACGUGGAGGAGCAGCUGAAACAGGGCCGGUGGCAGCAGCCGCCUGUGAGACGUGCCAGCCGGUGAGCCUUGUUAGUUUACCAUUGCCACGGCAAGACCCAGAAGUUACUGCCACUUCCCACGGUAAAAUCCCAAUGACCCUGAGGUUUCUGCUCCUUUUCUAGAAAUUUCUGCAUAAACCAACCCCUAAUUAGCAUGUAGUUAAAAGUGGGUGUAAUUAUGAUGCGGAGCUGCCUCUGAGCUGCUCUUCUGUGCACUCUGCUGUCCUGGGGCAGCCCCUCUGCUGCCGCU